AGGGUUUGAUCAUGGCUCAGAUUGAACGCUGGCGGUAUGCUUAACACAUGCAAGUCGAACGGAAACGAUGGAAGCUUGCUUCCAGGCGUCGAGUGGCGGACGGGUGAGUAAUGCUUGGGAAUCUGCCUAAUAGUGGGGGAAAACACGGGGAAACUCGUGCUAAUACCGCAUAAUCUCUACGGAGGAAAGGGGGCCUCUACAUGUAAGCUCUCGCUAAUAGAUGAGCCCAAGUCAGAUUAGCUUGUUGGUGAGGUAAAAGCUCACCAAGGCUACGAUCUGUAGCUGGUCUGAGAGGACGAUCAGCCACACUGGGACUGAGACACGGCCCAGACUCCUACGGGAGGCAGCAGUGGGGAAUAUUGCACAAUGGGCGCAAGCCUGAUGCAGCAAUACCGCGUGUGUGAAGAAGGCCUUAGGGUUGUAAAGCACUUUCAAUAGAGAAGAAAAGCUUAGAGUUAAUAACUCUAAGCGUUGACGUAACCUAUAGAAGAAGCACCGGCUAAAUCCGUGCCAGCAGCCGCGGUAAUACGGAUGGUGCGAGCGUUAAUCGGAAUUACUGGGCGUAAAGCGCGCGUAGGCUGUUUUAUAAGUCGGAUGUGAAAUCCCCGGGCUCAACCUGGGAACUGCAUCCGAAACUAUUUAACUAGAGUAUGGGAGAGGUAAGUAGAAUUUCCGGUGUAGCGGUGAAAUG
Molecule: ribosomal RNA, 691 nt
Filed under: uncultured bacterium
Lineage: Bacteria
Description: bacterial SSU rRNA
Rfam family: Bacterial small subunit ribosomal RNA
Source: RNAcentral